UACGUAGGGGGCAAGCGUUGUCCGGAAUCAUUGGGCGUAAAGAGCGUGUAGGCGGCCCGAUAAGUCCGCUGUGAAAGUCCAGGGCUCAACCCUGGAAUGCCGGUGGAUACUGUCGGGCUCGAAUCCGGAAGAGGCGAGUGGAAUUCCUGGUGUAGCGGUGGAAUGCGCAGAUAUCAGGAGGAACACCAAUAGCGAAGGCAGCUCUCUGGGACGGUACCGACGCUGAGACACGAAAGCGUGGGGAGCGAACAGG
Molecule: ribosomal RNA, 253 nt
Filed under: uncultured bacterium
Lineage: Bacteria
Description: partial 16S ribosomal RNA
Rfam family: Bacterial small subunit ribosomal RNA
Source: RNAcentral